UACGGAGGGUGCGAGCGUUAAUCGGAUUUACUGGGCGUAAAGCGUGCGCAGGCGGCCCGUUAAGACAGGUGUGAAAUCCCUGGGUUCAACCUAGGAAUUGCGCUUGUGACUGGCGGGCUCGAGUACGGUAGAGGGGGGUGGAAUUCCUGGUGUAGCAGUGAAAUGCGUAGAGAUCAGGAGGAACACCGAUGGCGAAGGCAGCCCCCUGGGCCUGUACUGACGCUCAUGCACGAAAGCGUGGGGAGCAAACAGG
Molecule: ribosomal RNA, 253 nt
Filed under: uncultured microorganism
Description: partial 16S ribosomal RNA
Rfam family: Bacterial small subunit ribosomal RNA
Source: RNAcentral